Molecule: ribosomal RNA, 255 nt
Filed under: Triticum aestivum (bread wheat)
Lineage: Eukaryota; Viridiplantae; Streptophyta; Magnoliopsida; Poales; Poaceae
Description: partial small subunit ribosomal RNA
Source: RNAcentral
AUGGAAGGGGUGGUGCUGGAGGUGGAGGACAUCGCCAAGGCGGCGCUGUACCUGGCGUUCGACGACUCCAAGCGAGCGGCGAGGAGCACCGGCCACAACGAGAUGGAAGGGGUGGUGCUGGAGGUGGAGGACAUCGCCAAGGCGGCGCUGUACCUGGCGUCCGACGACUCCAAGUACGUCAACGGCCACAACCUCGUCGUCGACGGCGGGUUCACGGCGGGGAAGGCACCCAACAUGCCGGCACCGGCACAAUGA